AUCCCAGACUCCUACGGGAGGCAGCAGUCGAGAAUCAUUCACAAUGGGGGGAACCCUGAUGCAGCGACGCCGCGUGAGUGAAGAAGUAUUUCGGUAUGUAAAGCUCUAUCAGCAGGGAAGAAAAUGACGGUACCUGACUAAGAAGCCCCGGCUAACUACGUGCCAGCAGUCGCGGUAAUACGUAGGGGGCAAGCGUUAUCCGGAUUUACUGGGUGUAAAGGGAGCGUAGACGGCAUGGCAAGUCUGAAGUGAAAGCCCGGGGCUCAACCGCGGGACUGCUUUGGAAACUGUUAAGCUGGAGUGCAGGAGAGGUAAGUGGAAUUCCUAGUGUAGCGGUGAAAUGCGUAGAUAUUAGGAGGAACACCAGUGGCGAAGGCGGCUUACUGGACUGUAACUGACGUUGAGGCUCGAAAGCGUGGGGAGCAAACAGGAUUAGAUACCCCCGUAC
This 448-nucleotide ribosomal RNA is filed under the name uncultured bacterium. RNAcentral's name for it is "bacterial SSU rRNA". It matches the Rfam family "Bacterial small subunit ribosomal RNA", at positions 328 to 793 of the family's 1533-position model. The record is from RNAcentral.